RNAcentral lists this ribosomal RNA (468 nucleotides) under uncultured bacterium. Its description in RNAcentral is "partial 16S ribosomal RNA". It matches the Rfam family "Bacterial small subunit ribosomal RNA", at positions 28 to 507 of the family's 1533-position model. The record is from RNAcentral.
GACGAACGCUGGCGGCGUGCUUAACACAUGCAAGUCGAACGGAAAGGCCCUGCUUUUGUGGGGUGCUCGAGUGGCGAACGGGUGAGUAACACGUGAGUAACCUGCUCUUGACUUUGGGAUAACUUCAGGAAACUGGGGCUAAUACCGGAUAGGAGCUCCUGCUGCAUGGUGGGGGUUGGAAAGUUUCGGCGGUUGGGGAUGGACUCGCGGCUUAUCAGCUUGUUGGUGGGGUAGUGGCUGACCAAGGCUUUGACGGGUAGCCGGCCUGAGAGGGUGACCGGCGACAUUGGGACUGAGAUACGGCCCAGACUCCUACGGGAGACAGCAGUGGGGAAUAUUGUACAAUGGGCGGAAGCCUGAUGCAGAAACGCCGCGUGCGGGAUGACGGCCUUCGGGUUGUAAACCGCUUUCGCCUGUGACGAAGCGUGAGUGACGGUAAUGGGUAAAGAAGCACCGGCUAACUACGUG